Molecule: ribosomal RNA, 406 nt
Filed under: Gallotia atlantica atlantica
Lineage: Eukaryota; Metazoa; Chordata; Lepidosauria; Squamata; Lacertidae
Description: partial 16S ribosomal RNA
Rfam family: Bacterial large subunit ribosomal RNA
Source: RNAcentral
UCCCUAAAUAGGGACUAGUAUGAACGGCUAAAUGAGGACUUUACUGUCUCUUGCCGCCAGUCAAUGAAACUGAUCUUCCAGUUCAAAAGCUGGAAUAACAUCAUAAGACAAAAAGACCCUGUGGAGCUUUUAAACCAAAACCACCAAAAAUUGUCCACUUGGUUUUUAGUUGGGGCGACUUCGGGGUAAAACCAAACCCCCGAAACAAUGGAACCUACCAUAUUAAGGCCAACACGCCAAAAUAAUUUAAAACUUGACCCAGAUCUUCUAAUUUAUCUGACCAAUGAACCAAGUUACCCCAGGGAUAACAGCGCCAUCUUCUUUUAGAGUCCAUAUCGACAAGAAGGUUUACGACCUCGAUGUUGGAUCAGGACACCCCAAUAGUGCAGCCGCUAUUAACGGUUCG